UACAGAGGGGGCAAGCGUUGUUCGGAAUUACUGGGCGUAAAGGGCGCGUAGGCGGCCUUCUAAGUCGAACGUGAAAUCCCCGGGCUCAACCCGGGAACUGCGUCCGAUACUGGAAGGCUUGAAUCCGGGAGAGGGAUGUGGAAUUCCAGGUGUAGCGGUGAAAUGCGUAGAUAUCUGGAGGAGCACCGGUGGCGAAGGCGACAUCCUGGACCGGUAUUGACGCUGAGGCGCGAAAGCCAGGGGAGCAAACGGG
This 253-nucleotide ribosomal RNA is filed under the name uncultured bacterium. RNAcentral describes it as "partial 16S ribosomal RNA". It matches the Rfam family "Bacterial small subunit ribosomal RNA", at positions 524 to 776 of the family's 1533-position model. The record is from RNAcentral.